GAUGAACGCUGGCGGCGUGCCUAAUACAUGCAAGUCGAGCGAACAGAUGAGGAGCUUGCUCCUCUGACGUUAGCGGCGGACGGGUGAGUAACACGUGGAUAACCUACCUAUAAGACUGGGAUCACUUCGGGAAACCGGAGCUAAUACCGGAUAAUAUAUUGAACCGCAUGGUUCAAUAGUGAAAGACGGUUUUGCUGUCACUUAUAGAUGGAUCCGCGCCGCAUUAGCUAGUUGGUAAGGUAACGGCUUACCAAGGCAACGAUGCGUAGCCGACCUGAGAGGGUGAUCGGCCACACUGGAACUGAGACACGGUCCAGACUCCUACGGGAGGCAGCAGUAGGGAAUCUGCCGCAAUGGGCGAAAGCCUGACGGAGCAACGCCGCGUGAGUGAUGAAGGUCUUCGGAUCGUAAAACUCUGUUAUUAGGGAAGAACAAAUGUGUAAGUAACUAUGCACGUCUUGACGGUACCUAAUCAGAAAGCCACGGCUAACUACGUG
This 497-nucleotide ribosomal RNA is filed under the name uncultured bacterium. RNAcentral describes it as "partial 16S ribosomal RNA". It matches the Rfam family "Bacterial small subunit ribosomal RNA", at positions 28 to 507 of the family's 1533-position model. The record is from RNAcentral.